RNAcentral lists this ribosomal RNA (497 nucleotides) under uncultured bacterium. Its description in RNAcentral is "partial 16S ribosomal RNA". It matches the Rfam family "Bacterial small subunit ribosomal RNA", at positions 28 to 507 of the family's 1533-position model. The record is from RNAcentral.
GAUGAACGCUGGCGGCGUGCCUAAUACAUGCAAGUCGAGCGAACGGACGAGAAGCUUGCUGCUCUGAUGUUAGCGGCGGACGGGUGAGUAACACGUGGAUAACCUACCUAUAAGACUGGGAUAACUUCGGGAAACCGGAGCUAAUACCGGAUGAUAUUUUGAACCGCAUGGUUCAAAAGUGAAAGACGGUCUUGCUGUCACUUAUAGAUGGAUCCGCGCUGCAUUAGCUAGUUGGUAAGGUAACGGCUUACCAAGGCAACGAUGCAUAGCCGACCUGAGAGGGUGUUCGGCGACACUGGAACUGAGCCACGGUCCAGGCUCCUACGGGAGGCAGCAGUAGGGAAUCUUCCGCAAUGGGCGGAAGCCUGACGGAGCAGCGCCGCGUGAGUGAUGAAGGUCUUCGGAUCGUAAAACUCUGUUAUUAGGGAAGAACAUAUGUGUAAGUAACUGUGCACAUCUUGACGGUACCUAAUCAGAAAGCCACGGCUAACUACGUG